This 305-nucleotide ribosomal RNA is filed under the name uncultured bacterium. RNAcentral's name for it is "bacterial SSU rRNA". It matches the Rfam family "Bacterial small subunit ribosomal RNA", at positions 338 to 660 of the family's 1533-position model. The record is from RNAcentral.
CCUACGGGGGGCAGCAGUGGGGAAUAUUGCACAAUGGGGGAAACCCUGAUGCAGCGACGCCGCGUGGGCGACGAAGCGCUCCGGCGCGUAAAGCCCUGUCAGCAGGGAAGAACAAAGACAGUACCUGACCAAGAAGCCCCGGCUAACUACGUGCCAGCAGCCGCGGUAAUACGUAGGGAGCGAGCGUUGUCCGGAAUUACUGGGUGUAAAGGGAGCGUAGGCGGGGAUGCAAGUUGGGUGUCAAAACUACCGGCUCAACUGGUAGUCGCACUCAAAACUGCAGCUCUUGAGUGAAGUAGAGGCAG